UCCGUAGGUGAACCUGCGGAAGGAUCAUUAGUGAAUUAAACAUGCUUGGUGUCUUCGCUUCGGCAAGGCCCUUGCUUAAAUCACAUCCUAACACCUGUGAACUGUAAGACGUAUGAUGAGGUCUUUGGCCAAGUCAUCGUCUGCCCAUUUUUAACAAACAAUUAAUGUAACAAACGUAGUCUUAUUAUAACCUAAUAAAACUUUCAACAACGGAUCUCUUGGCUCUCGCAUCGAUGAAGAACGCAGC
This 247-nucleotide ribosomal RNA is filed under the name Solicoccozyma terrea. Its description in RNAcentral is "partial contains small subunit ribosomal RNA, internal transcribed spacer 1, and 5.8S ribosomal RNA". The stretch from base 199 to 247 matches the Rfam family "5.8S ribosomal RNA", at positions 1 to 49 of the family's 154-position model. The record is from RNAcentral. Lineage: Eukaryota; Fungi; Basidiomycota; Tremellomycetes; Filobasidiales; Piskurozymaceae.